RNAcentral lists this ribosomal RNA (440 nucleotides) under uncultured bacterium. RNAcentral describes it as "bacterial SSU rRNA". It matches the Rfam family "Bacterial small subunit ribosomal RNA", at positions 338 to 771 of the family's 1533-position model. The record is from RNAcentral.
CCUACGGGUGGCAGCAGUCGAGAAUUUUUCUCAAUGGGGGAAACCCUGAAGGAGCGACGCCGCGUGGAGGAUGAAGGUCUUCGGAUUGUAAACUCCUGUCAUUGGGGAACAAUGCGUAAAUAUUAACUGUAUUUACGUUGAUAGUACCCGAAGAGGAAGAGACGGCUAACUCUGUGCCAGCAGCCGCGGUAAUACAGAGGUCUCAAGCGUUGUUCGGAUUCAUUGGGCGUAAAGGGUGCGUAGGCGGCGCGGUAAGUCGGGUGUGAAAUCUUGGAGCUUAACUCCGAAACUGCAUUCGAUACUGCCGUGCUUGAGGACUGGAAAGGAGACUGGAAUUUACGGUGUAGCGGUGAAAUGCGUAGAUAUCGUAAGGAAGACCAGUGGCGAAGGCGGGUCUCUGGACAGUUCCUGACGCUGAGGCACGAAGGUCAGGGGAGCAA